AUGGAUCUGUAUGUAUCCCUCCUGGUUUCAGCAUGUAAAAGAACUGAACGACAAGAUUCGCCAACAGAUUUUCUAGCUUGGUCUUGUUUUAAGUCCCAAAAAGUCGCUAAAUUUAUUACAUCAAAACCGGCCCUACACUCAAGUGGAGUUCUAGUUUCGCUUGUUACAAUUAUCCCUCUACCCCGAGUAGCUCUCACGAGACUUGUAGCGUUUGUAAUCAAAUUUCUCCUGUUGGACACAUCUCGAAGUCCAGAAGAAUAUGAUAUUUCUAUACCAAUGUCUCUUGAAACAGCCAAACCCAUGAAUGUAUGUUUCAAAUAAAAGGGAAGUCUCUGAGUAAAAUCUAUGGACAAAAUGUCAAAUUCUAAAUCACUGCAUGUUUGUUGCAGCAAUCUGUCUCCAAUUGGUCGUAUGGCUAAGAUAUCAAAUUCUUUUGUUACGUUAGACUAAGGCAAUGUUAGGCAGAGAUAUUCAAAUGGUUUUAAUCAUUUUUAAAUGUUUAAACAUGAACGUACCAACACUUUGUUUUGAGGCAUCGACUCGAUUGUUAGAGUGAUUCGAGAAUAGAUUUUUAUUUUUUGCUCAGGGUAUAGCUCCUUAACAAUAGGAUUUUUCUAAGUUAGUAAGUAUACACGUAUUUGAUUUAAAAACCAUACUAUAACAUUUUGCAAUUUUCCAUCAUAUUGAUAAUUAAGUGCAAUGGCCGUGUAGCCCACUUUUUGAAGGUAAGUAAAAUUAAUCAUGGAUAUUCUUAGUACAUACGCCGCUCAAGUGUUUUUACUGUUUUAACAAGAUUUAAAUCUUUAACGCCCAGAGUUGGCCAGACAACAUUCAAGUCAAUAAACAUUUCUCCCCCAAAGCAACAAUUUGAAAGUUGCCAGUACUAUAAGCACCUCUAGCUUCAGGUUUCAUGGAUAACGUACGGUAACGAUACGAGAAAACAAUUGUAAUACCAAAAGCAUUAUUUACCUUACAUUUUCAUUUAAAUAAAAAACGGUCUUAAUUUAGAUUGCAGUUUAGUUCUAUCGAAAUUUUUUUUUAAUUUUAUUUUUCAGGUUGAGUAAAAUGAUCGGUUGAAGGAUGAAUGUUUUGCUUCAAAGUGCAAUCUAUUAUAAUACAACCUGCUUCUUACCAAACAACAGGUACCGCUUACUUAGAAGUUAGAAUUGUUCCAUUACAACAUAAUUAUUGACGGUUGGAUUGCCAGCUUGUAAUUAAUAAACCAGCAUAUUGACUAAUGCGAUGCUUCAUUUUGAUGUAAAAGAUUUAUAUAAAUAAUCUAUAAGUGUUAUAGAUUUCCCUAUACUGAUGAAUGGCAGCUAGGGACCAAAAGUGAAAUAUAACGUUGAGCUUUUAAUUCGUUGAUUUAUGAGUGCCUCUGCGUAUAUGGAUUAAAUUACGGGUUAAAAGGAACGCAUAGAUAGUGGCAGAGAAUAUGCAAAGUGUUAGCCAGAACUUAAUCUGUUGUUUCUCAUCCAACAUUUUCGUCAACUUAACUCAAUGAGAAGGUGGAGUAGAGCGGAGAUUUGUUAGCUUUAUUUUCAAAGUAGGUCCCUUUGGUUUAAUAGGAUUGAUUGUUAUUGACGGGGGAGUAGGACUCGUGGACUUUUCUUUUGUUUUGCUAGUUAUUUGCUUCAAGGGAGCUUU
Schizosaccharomyces pombe (fission yeast) is the source of this 1647-nucleotide non-coding RNA. Lineage: Eukaryota; Fungi; Ascomycota; Schizosaccharomycetes; Schizosaccharomycetales; Schizosaccharomycetaceae. The record is from the annotation of a GenBank genome assembly.